Molecule: transfer RNA, 72 nt
Filed under: Chloroflexota bacterium
Lineage: Bacteria; Bacillati; Chloroflexota
Description: Chloroflexi bacterium (marine metagenome) tRNA-Ala
Rfam family: tRNA
About the family: Transfer RNA (tRNA) molecules are approximately 80 nucleotides in length. Their secondary structure includes four short double-helical elements and three loops (D, anti-codon, and T loops).
Source: RNAcentral
GGGGCCAUAGCUCAACGGGAGAGCAGCUGCUUUGCACAUAGAAGGUUGGCGGUUCAAAUCCGCCUGGCUCCA